RNAcentral lists this long non-coding RNA (2052 nucleotides) under Struthio camelus australis. Its description in RNAcentral is "lncRNA (ENSSCUG00000015800.1)". The record is from RNAcentral. Lineage: Eukaryota; Metazoa; Chordata; Aves; Struthioniformes; Struthionidae.
GUUAAAUUUAAGACCUACUGGUUUCCUGCCUUUCCACACAGAUAUUCCACACUGAUUUCUCACUUGCUGCAGUUUUACAGAAAACUGAAGCCCUCUGCAGCGCCUGAACCGCAGCCGGACCUCGACUCCCCAGUGCGCGCUGCCAGGCAGCGGGCAGAGGCAGCCCACGCCCCUCCGACGCCUCAGGAACCAUCACCCCCCAAAGGGAACCCACAGCCACUUACCGCGCGCUUGAGCCACAGACAGAGCCCGCUGCGUGCUAAAUCCUGGAACACGAGUUAGUAGCAAACGAAGCCCGCACGACGCACGGCUUGGGGCCGCGACAGCACCCGAGCGGUCUGUGCUGCCGCCAGCCUGGCCGAGAACACGGCGUUCAGGCGGGGCCGGCCGCGGCGCGGCGCGAGGAGGGAACCGCUGGGAAGCUUCCCCAAUAGCUAUGUCUGACCACCCAGGAGGUGUUGCCCCAGUCCUGUUCUGGCGGUCUGAACUUUGUCAGCUACCCGGGUCAGACACGCUGUCUCCAGGUAUGGGCAGAGAGGCAGUUAAUGUUUCAGUUUAUUAACUCAGGGCAGGCUUAUCUUUCGGCAUAGCUGCUCCCACACCACCUUUUCCAAUCUGUGCCUCAGAAGGACGUACCUUACCGAUGCAGAGCAAGGGUCAACUGCUCUGUGCUCUUCAAUAAUUUAUUAAGAACUGGCACAGGCAGCAGCUUUGCUAGGUUGUACAGCUGUCCUAACAAACUGCAGAGUCUUCCACUGCUUCCGGCAACAAUCAACUUCCAGCACAAAAGGCAGAAAACACACGGCAUUCAUAACAACACACAACGGAGGGGAUGCAGACAGCACAUCAUUGUUUCAGAGAGGAACUCCUUCGUAAGCAAGAAAUCCGCCCAGAUGCUAUCACCAAACAUUAAAUCAAACAGCCCUCACGUUUUUGGCGCUCAGCUUGCUGUCGGGCCACAAAAAUGGUCCCUGCACACCUUCUGCCAGCAAAUCAGCGUUGCUCUCCGGGACAGGGCAGUACUACAAUGGAAGCGUAACACUGCAGGAUAGCAACAGCAACUUGCACGGACGUCACGAGCGUCCCCCGACAUCCCGACUCCCUGUCUUUGCGGCACCGAAAAAACACGGACUAGAACUAAACGCUUCAUUGCUUGAGGAUGGAUGAGACCGGCUCACCCGGACACAGCAACGCAGGACAGAAUUCCCCAGAUUGGAAAUCUGCAAACUCUAGAUCCAUCAUUAUUUUUACCAGGCAGAAGGGGCUAAUACAUGCCCUUCUCAUUGACACUGUAAUGAAAAAAACUGAUAUUUUCAAAUAAGCAGACUACAGAUUACAGUCUUUUAAUGUCACUACUAACUACAGAUGCUUGAUAGCACAGCUGAAAAGAAAAAACCGAUAGUGCUACUUGGACUAACAUCCCACUAGGAUAUUAUACAGGAAAAUAUUUCAUAUUACAGGAAAAAAAUAAUAUUUCUUGAAAGCAGAAAAUCAUCACGUAAGGCUAUCAAAGAUGAUUUGCCCUAACACGCCUCUAUAUGUGGGUACCUUCCGCAUAAUCUAUAGCCAGUGCAGAUUUCCUAGCAGACUUCAGGCAGUGUCUAGCAUUUCUCCCUUUACACAGCUGAAUUUCAGUUUCAGUGGGGUUACAGUUUUAUUUUUGAGAGGCUGGGAGCUAACAGAAAGUAAGGAUUAAAAGGAUCGUGUAAAUUACAAUUCCUAUUUUUGAUGGAAAAGGCCUCUUAAAAAGAAAGAUUUUCCAAAAUUCAUGGAAGUGAUGAAGCUCUGGAUUUGCACAGUCCUGUUUGGGAAGCUAUAUAUAGUUAUAUAUACGUAUGUGCAAGCGGAAUGAUUUUUUCUUAGCUACCACACGCUUAAUUUUCAUCGAUGAAAAACUGCACACAAUUCUUAUGGGAGGCUGACUGGGCAAAAAGUGUUUUGUGCUGCAAUGAGGCUGCAUAAAUUGCUUUAAAAUACAACUGAAGUUACUUGGGAGGGAUCUGAACACAUGCCUGAUAUCUUCCUGGCAGCCUGGACGAGGGGAAAAACAGC